This 405-nucleotide ribosomal RNA is filed under the name uncultured Bacillota bacterium. RNAcentral's name for it is "uncultured Firmicutes bacterium partial 16S ribosomal RNA". It matches the Rfam family "Bacterial small subunit ribosomal RNA", at positions 355 to 774 of the family's 1533-position model. Lineage: Bacteria; Bacillati; Bacillota. The record is from RNAcentral.
UGGGGAAUAUUGGGCAAUGGAGGAAACUCUUACCCAGCAAUGCCGCGUGAAGGAUGAAGGUCUUCGGAUUGUAAACUUCUUUGAUUGGGGACAAAUAAAUGAUGGUACCCAAGGAACAAGCCCCGGCUAACUAUGUGCCAGCAGCCGCGGUAAUACAUAGGGGGCAAGCGUUGUCCGGAAUGACUGGGCGUAAAGGGUGUGUAGGCGGUUUGGCAAGUUGGAAGUGUAAUACCUAGGGCUCAACCCAGGUGCUGCUUCCAAAACUACCUUACUUGAGUGUCGGAGAGGAAAAUGGAAUUCCUAGUGUAGCGGUGGAAUGCGUAGAUAUUAGGAGGAACACCAGAGGCGAAGGCGAUUUUCUGGACGACAACUGACGCUGAGGCACGAAAGUGUGGGGAGCAAACA